This 497-nucleotide ribosomal RNA is filed under the name uncultured bacterium. RNAcentral's name for it is "partial 16S ribosomal RNA". It matches the Rfam family "Bacterial small subunit ribosomal RNA", at positions 28 to 507 of the family's 1533-position model. The record is from RNAcentral.
GAUGAACGCUGGCGGCGUGCCUAAUACAUGCAAGUCGAGCGAACAGACGAGGAGCUUGCUCCUCUGACGUUAGCGGCGGACGGGUGAGUAACACGUGGAUAACCUACCUAUAAGACUGGGAUAACUUCGGGAAACCGGAGCUAAUACCGGAUAAUAUAUUGAACCGCAUGGUUCAAUAGUGAAAGACGGCUUUGCUGUCUCUUAUAGAUGGAUCCGCGCCGCAUUAGCUAGUUGGUAAGGUAACGGCUUACCAAGGCAACGAUGCGUAGCCGACCUGAGAGGGUGAUCGGCCACACUGGAACUGAGACACGGUCCAGACUCCUACGGGAGGCAGCAGUAGGGAAUCUUCCGCAAUGGGCGAAAGCCUGACGGAGCAACGCCGCGUGAGUGAUGAAGGUCUUCGGAUCGUAAAACUCUGUUAUUAGGGAAGAACAGAUGUGGAAGUAACUAUGCACGUCUUGACGGUACCUAAUCAGAAAGCCACGGCUAACUACGUG